This 301-nucleotide ribosomal RNA is filed under the name uncultured bacterium. RNAcentral describes it as "partial 16S ribosomal RNA". It matches the Rfam family "Bacterial small subunit ribosomal RNA", at positions 509 to 807 of the family's 1533-position model. The record is from RNAcentral.
CAGCAGCCGCGGGAAUACGAAGGGGGCUAGCGUUGCUCGGAAUCACUGGGCGUAAAGGGUGCGUAGGCGGGUUUUUAAGUCAGAGGUGAAAUCCUGGAGCUCAACUCCAGAACUGCCUUUGAUACUGAAAGUCUUGAGUAUGGGAGAGGUGAGUGGAACUGCGAGUGUAGAGGUGAAAUUCGUAGAUAUUCGCAAGAACACCAGUGGCGAAGGCGGCUCACUGGCCCAUAACUGACGCUGAGGCACGAAAGCGUGGGGAGCAAACAGGAUUAGAUACCCCAGUAGUCCCUGUCUCUUAUAC